UACAGAGGUCCCAAGCGUUGUUCGGAUUCACUGGGCGUAAAGGGUGCGUAGGUGGUCGGGUAAGUCUGAUGUGAAAUCUCCGAGCUCAACUCGGAAAUGGCAUUGGAUACUAUCUGGCUAGAGGAGUGGAGGGGGGACUGGAAUUCCUGGUGUAGCGGUGAAAUGCGCAGAUAUCAGGAGGAACACCGGUGGCGAAGGCGGGUCUCUGGGCAACAACUGACGCUGAGGAGCGAAAGCGUGGGGAGCGAACAGG
This 253-nucleotide ribosomal RNA is filed under the name uncultured bacterium. RNAcentral describes it as "partial 16S ribosomal RNA". It matches the Rfam family "Bacterial small subunit ribosomal RNA", at positions 524 to 776 of the family's 1533-position model. The record is from RNAcentral.